GCAAGCUAAAGGCAGAGCCAAUAGACCAGAAGCAACUACCCUGACCCCCAGGGCCACACCUCUCCUUCCUCACUGCUUGGUGGAUGAGCUGCCAGGUCCUGCCAAUCCCUACUGCCCUCCUGCACUGAAAGGAGCCUCCUUGGGAGCAAAUGUCCUGCCACCCCUCUCUGAUCUGCCCUGGACUCCUUCCUGGUGACCUCUGGCUCCAGCCAGAUCACACAGAAGUGCCAGAGCCAGUCCCAUGAAUCCAGAACGAAACACUUCAUGGGGGCCCACGGCUCCUGCCACAAGAAAGGAGGGCCACAUUCUGAUUUCAGAGCUGCCAGCCCCCUGUGUGAAAGUCUGCUUUUGUACUUCAUAUGUAUCUAUAUCUAGCCAUGAAUAAUAUAAGAUACUGUUUUGUGGGUAUUUGUAAAUAGAUGGUUUUCAUAUACAAUAGAUCACUCUGAAGCUUGCUUUUUAAUUCAACAUUAUGCUUUUAUGUUUAUUUGAUUCGGUAAUCAAAAAUCUUCCAACAAAGAAAAGCACAGGACUCAACAGCUUCACUGGUGAAUUCUACCAAAUAUUUAACAACAACAACAACAACAGGAAACAGGGUAGCCGGCCCUCACUUCAGAGCACUCGGCCAGUCUACUUAAACCACUCUGUAUGAAGCUGGCGCCCAGAGGAGAGGGACGGCUCCCGUGAGAUGUCAGCUCUCCAGCUCCCUGCCUCGGGGAGGCGAGGACAUUUGACUGUCCAUACCGCAU
Molecule: long non-coding RNA, 749 nt
Filed under: Homo sapiens (human)
Lineage: Eukaryota; Metazoa; Chordata; Mammalia; Primates; Hominidae
Description: HSALNT0164147
Source: RNAcentral